CAAUAGCGUAUAUUUAAGUUGUUGCAGUUAAAAAGCUCGUAGUCGGAUUUUGGCUGAGAACGAUCGGUCCGCCGUUAGGUGUGCACUGAUUGGUCUCAGCUUCCUGGUGAGGAGGUGUGCUUCACGGCCACUUAGUCACCGUGGUUACCUUGAAAAAAUUAGAGUGUUCAAAGCGGGCUUACGCUUGAAUAUAUUAGCAUGGAAUAACACCAUAGGACUCCUGUCCUAUUUCGUUGGUCUCGGGACGGGAGUAAUGAUUAAGAGGAACAGUUGGGGGCAUUCGUAUUUCAUUGUCAGAGGUGAAAUUCUUGGAUUUAUGAAAGACGAACUUCUGCGAAAGCAUUUGCCAAGGAUGUUUUCAUUGA
Molecule: ribosomal RNA, 365 nt
Filed under: uncultured eukaryote
Lineage: Eukaryota
Description: partial 18S ribosomal RNA
Rfam family: Eukaryotic small subunit ribosomal RNA
Source: RNAcentral